UACGUAGGGUGCGAGCGUUGUCCGGAAUUAUUGGGCGUAAAGAGCUUGUAGGCGGUUUGUCGCGUCUGCCGUGAAAGCCCAGGGCUUAACCCUGGGUCUGCGGUGGGUACGGGCAGACUAGAGUGAUGUAGGGGAGACUGGAAUUCCUGGUGUAGCGGUGAAAUGCGCAGAUAUCAGGAGGAACACCGAUGGCGAAGGCAGGUCUCUGGGCAUUAACUGACGCUGAGGAGCGAAAGCAUGGGGAGCGAACAGG
Molecule: ribosomal RNA, 253 nt
Filed under: uncultured bacterium
Lineage: Bacteria
Description: partial 16S ribosomal RNA
Rfam family: Bacterial small subunit ribosomal RNA
Source: RNAcentral